AUGUGUUUUUUAUUGAACAAAUUUCUUUGGUGGCGGGAGCAAUCCUACCGCCAGAGGUUAUAACUAAACCAAACUUUUUAUUUACAGUCAAACUUGAUUUAUUAUUACAAUAGUCAAAACUUUCAACAACGGAUCUCUUGGUUCUCGCAUCGAUGAAGAACGCAGCGAAAUGCGAUACGUAAUAUGAAUUGCAGAUAUUCGUGAAUCAUCGAAUCUUUGAACGCACAUUGCGCCCUUUGGUAUUCCAAAGGGCAUGCCUGUUUGAGCGUCAUUUCUCCCUCAAACCCCCGGGUUUGGUGUUGAGCAAUACGCUAGGUUUGUUUGAAAGAAUUUAACGUGGAAACUUAUUUUAAGCGACUUAGGUUUAUCCAAAAACGCUUAUUUUGCUAGUGGCCACCACAAUUUAUUUCAUAACUUUGACCUCAAAUCAGGUAGGACUACCCGCUGAACUUAAGCAUAUCAAUAAGCGGNGGA
RNAcentral lists this ribosomal RNA (474 nucleotides) under Candida tropicalis. RNAcentral's name for it is "eukaryotic LSU rRNA". The stretch from base 118 to 271 matches the Rfam family "5.8S ribosomal RNA". The record is from RNAcentral. Lineage: Eukaryota; Fungi; Ascomycota; Pichiomycetes; Serinales; Debaryomycetaceae.